UACCAUCUUAACAAAAUGGAGUUUUCCAAUUCAUUAACUUGGUAUCUCUUUCUAUCUAGUUAAGGCUUCUUUAAUUUCUCUCCAUCUUCUUUUAUUGUUUUCAGAAUAGAGUGCUUGAAUAUCUUUUGUGAGAUUUAUUCCUGGGUAUUUUAUAUUUUCUUGGUACUGCUGUAAAUGGAAUUAUCUUUGAAACUUUAUUUUCAAACUUUUUGCUGAUUAUAAAUGCAUAUGAAAUGGAUUUUUUAGUAUUAUUCUUAUAUCUUAUCUUGCUAAAUUUGUUUACUAGUUCUAGUAGUAGGUAUGUAGAUGCUCUGGGAUUUUUAUUGAAGCAAUUAUCAUUCUCAAAUAGGGAAAAGAUUGUGUGUUUUUUAAUCCGCACCAGAGGAUAUGUUUUUAUUGACUUUAUAGAGAGGGGAAGGGAGAGAGAGAAAGAGAAACACAUUGAUGUGAGAGAGAAAUGCACCUCAACUGGGGAUUGAACCCUCAACCUUUCGCAUUUUCUUCUUAUCUUUUUAAUGGCUCUAGAUUCUGAAGUAAUAACCCCUUUUUCAUUCUAAAUAUAGAUAAUUGAUUGGUCUAGCUGGGGAUGGGGAUUGGGGGGAGGAGGAGGUAUCCAUUUUGUUGGUGUUUUCAAAGAACCAGCUUUAGGCUUUAACUUUCUUUUUCUUUUGUGUUUGUGUUCAGUUUCAUUGAUUUCUGCUAUUAUCUUUAUUAUUUUCCUCCUUCUAUUUACUUUUGGUUAAUUCUGCUCUUUUUAAGCUUUUUUUAAGAUAGGGAAAUUUGUUCUUAAAUCUUUAGUCUUUGAAGGACUUUGUUUGAUUUAUUUAAUAAACAUUUACCAAGAUCUUAUGAAUCGAUAUACCAGGCACUGUCAUAGUUCUUAAAGCUAUGAGGACAAAUAGGGCAAGUUGCUUACAGGAUAGUGGACAUUGGUACAUGUCUUCAGUGUUUUAUCAGAAGUGGCACAUCAGCCUUAGUUGGUUUGGCUCAGUGGAUAGAGCCUUGGCCUGCAGAGUGAAGGGUCCUGGGUUCGAUUCCAGUCAAGGGCACAUGCCCAGGUUGCGGGCUCGAUCCCCAGUAGGGGGCAUGCAAGAGGCAGCCAGUCAGUGAUUCUCUCUCAUCAUUGAUGUUUCUAUCUCUCUCUCCCUCUCCCUUCCUCUCUGAAAUCAAUAAAAAUAAAUUU
Long non-coding RNA from Myotis daubentonii (Daubenton's bat), 1183 nucleotides. RefSeq lists it as uncharacterized. The record is from RefSeq and is a predicted model, not a curated record. The transcript has 2 exons. Lineage: Eukaryota; Metazoa; Chordata; Mammalia; Chiroptera; Vespertilionidae.